This 291-nucleotide ribosomal RNA is filed under the name uncultured bacterium. Its description in RNAcentral is "partial 16S ribosomal RNA". It matches the Rfam family "Bacterial small subunit ribosomal RNA", at positions 773 to 1060 of the family's 1533-position model. The record is from RNAcentral.
GUGGAUUAGAUACCCUGGUAGUCCACGCUGUAAACGGUGGGUACUAGGUGUGGGGUCCAUUCCACGGGUUCCGUGCCGUAGCUAACGCUUUAAGUACCCCGCCUGGGGAGUACGGCCGCAAGGCUAAAACUCAAAGGAAUUGACGGGGCCCCGCACAAGCGGCGGAGCAUGCGGAUUAAUUCGAUGCAACGCGUAGAACCUUACCUGGGUUUGACAUGGAUCGGGAGUGCUCAGAGAUGGGUGUGCCUCUUUUGGGGUCGGUUCACAGGUGGUGCACGGCUGUCGUCAGCU